UACGUAGGGGGCAAGCGUUGUCCGGAAUCAUUGGGCGUAAAGCGCGUGUAGGCGGCUGGCUAAGUCCGCUCUGAAAGCCCGGGGCUCAACCCCGGGAGGCGGGUGGAUACUGGUCAGCUCGAGUCCGGAAGAGGAGUGUGGAAUUCCUGGUGUAGCGGUGAAAUGCGCAGAUAUCAGGAGGAACACCGGUGGCGAAGGCGGGUCUCUGGGCAACUACUGACGCUGAGGAGCGAAAGCGUGGGGAGCGAACAGG
Molecule: ribosomal RNA, 253 nt
Filed under: uncultured bacterium
Lineage: Bacteria
Description: partial 16S ribosomal RNA
Rfam family: Bacterial small subunit ribosomal RNA
Source: RNAcentral